This 480-nucleotide ribosomal RNA is filed under the name uncultured bacterium. RNAcentral's name for it is "partial 16S ribosomal RNA". It matches the Rfam family "Bacterial small subunit ribosomal RNA", at positions 28 to 506 of the family's 1533-position model. The record is from RNAcentral.
GACGAACGUUGGCGGCGUGCUUAAUACAUGCAAGUCAACUGAAGUAGUGGUAGCAAUAUCGCUGUGGAGGUGGCGCACGGGUGAGUAACACGUAGGUAAUCUGCCUUCAGGUCUGGCAUAACUCCGGGAAACCGGGGCUAAUAGCAGAUGAUGCAGCGGCUCGACAUCGAGACAGUUGUUAAAGCUAUGGCGCCUGAAGAUGAGCCUGCGUCUGAUUAGCUAGUUGGCGGGGUAACGGCCCACCAAGGCAACGAUCAGUAGCUGGUCUGAGAGGAUGAUCAGCCACACUGGAACUGAGACACGGUCCAGACUCCUACGGGAGGCAGCAGUAAGGAAUAUUGCUCAAUGGGAGAAAUCCUGAAGCAGCAACGCCGCGUGAGGGACGAAGGGCUUUUGCUUGUAAACCUCUGUAGUGAGAGAAAAAAAUCCCAAUCUUUGGGACAUGAUGGUAUCUCAAAAGUAAGCCCCGGCUAACUACGU